RNAcentral lists this ribosomal RNA (906 nucleotides) under uncultured marine archaeon TS10C298. Its description in RNAcentral is "bacterial SSU rRNA". It matches the Rfam family "Archaeal small subunit ribosomal RNA", at positions 13 to 922 of the family's 1478-position model. The record is from RNAcentral.
CCUGCCGGAGGCUACCGCUAUUGGAGUUCGAUUAAGCCAUGCGAGUCGUGAGUCCUAGGGACUCGGCGUACCGCUCAGUAACACGUGGGUAACCUGCCCUAUGCUGGGGAAUAACCUCGGGAAACUGAGAAUAAUGCCCCAUAGUUCACCACACCUGGAACGGUGGGUGGAUGAAAGCUCCGGCGGCAUAGGAUGGGCCUGCGGCGUAUCAGGUUGUAGGGGGUGUAAUGUACCCUCUAGCCAUCUACGCGUACGGGUGUUGAGAGACAUCGCCCGGAGAUGGAUUCUGAGACACGAAUCCAGACCCUACGGGGUGCAGCAGGCGCGAAAACUUGGCAAUGCGAGCAAUCGUGACCAGGGAACUCCAAGUGCAUCGGGUAAGACCGAUGCUUUUCUUGACUCUUCAAAGGUCUUGGAAUAAGGGGUGGGUAAGGACGGUGCCAGCCGCCGCGGUAAUACCGGCGCCUCAAGUGGUAGUCGCUUUUAUUGGGCCUAAAACGUCCGUAGCCGGUUUGGUACAUUCGUGGGUAAAUCAAGACGCUCAACGUCUUGAAUUCUGCGAGCACGGCCAGACUUGGGACCGGGUGAGGUGUGGGGUACUCUCAGGGUAGGGGUAAAAUCCUGUCAUCCUGAGAGGACCACCUGUUGCGAAGGCGCCACACUAGAACGGAUCCGACGGUCAGGGACGAAGCCUAGGGGCACGAACCGGAUUAGAUACCCGGGUAGUCCUAAGGUGUAAACGCUGUGGACUUGAUGUUGGGAGUGCUCCGAGCACCCUCAGUGUCGAAGCGAAGGUGAUAAGUCCACUGCCUGGGGAGUANCGGUCGCAAGGCUGAAACUUAAAGGAAUUGGCGGGGGAGCACUGCAACCUGAGGAUUGUGCGGUUUAAUUGGAUUCAACGCCGGA